This 883-nucleotide ribosomal RNA is filed under the name Cortinarius carneipallidus. RNAcentral describes it as "eukaryotic LSU rRNA". It matches the Rfam family "Eukaryotic large subunit ribosomal RNA", at positions 73 to 939 of the family's 3401-position model. Lineage: Eukaryota; Fungi; Basidiomycota; Agaricomycetes; Agaricales; Cortinariaceae. The record is from RNAcentral.
GAUUCCCCUAGUAACUGCGAGUGAAGCGGGAAAAGCUCAAAUUUAAAAUCUGUCAGUCUUUGGCUGUCCGAGUUGUAAUCUAGAGAAGUGUUAUCCGCGCUGGACCGUGUACAAGUCUCCUGGAAUGGAGCGUCAUAGAGGGUGAGAAUCCCGUCUUUGACACGGACUGCCAGGGCUUUGUGAUGCGCUCUCAAAGAGUCGAGUUGUUUGGGAAUGCAGCUCAAAAUGGGUGGUAAAUUCCAUCUAAAGCUAAAUAUUGGCGAGAGACCGAUAGCGAACAAGUACCGUGAGGGAAAGAUGAAAAGAACUUUGGAAAGAGAGUUAAACAGUACGUGAAAUUGCUGAAAGGGAAACGCUUGAAGUCAGUCGCGUUGACCAGGGAUCAACCCUUGCUUUUGCUUGGUGUACUUUCUGGUUGACGGGUCAGCAUCAAUUUUGACUAUUGGAAAAAGAUCAGGGGAAUGUGGCAUCUUUGGAUGUGUUAUAGCCUCUGGUUGUAUACAAUGGUUGGGAUUGAGGAACUCAKCACGCGCCGCAAGGCCGGGUUUUUAACCACGUACGUGCUUAGGAUGCUGGCAUAAUGGCUUUAAUCGACCCGUCUUGAAACACGGACCAAGGAGUCUAACAUGCCUGCAAGUGUUUGGGUGGAAAACCCGAGCGCGUAAUGAAAGUGAAAGUUGAGAUCCCUGUCGUGGGGAGCAUCGACGCCCGGACCAGAUCUUUUGUGACGGUUCCGCGGUAGAGCAUGUAUGUUGGGACCCGAAAGAUGGUGAACUAUGCCUGAAUAGGGUGAAGCCAGAGGAAACUCAGGUGRAGGCUCRUAGCGAUUCUGACGUGCAAAUCGAUCGUCAAAUUUGGGUAUAGGGGCGAAAGACUAAUCGAA